RNAcentral lists this ribosomal RNA (1014 nucleotides) under Triticum aestivum (bread wheat). RNAcentral describes it as "partial small subunit ribosomal RNA". The record is from RNAcentral. Lineage: Eukaryota; Viridiplantae; Streptophyta; Magnoliopsida; Poales; Poaceae.
AUGAUUGAUCCCUACUUUACGAAAAUAUCAACACCGGCUACCAAUGUCAACAUUGACCAUCAGACAGCUAUUGACAUCACAAUUGACCAGCAGGGGGCUAUUCAGUCAGCCAGCACUGCCAAUGGAGGAGAAAGCAAUGGAUCUUGUAUUUUUGUUAAGCAAUUAAUGGAAAGGGUAGCUCGGCAGAGAGCAGAAAUCAUCAGAAAUAGACAGCAAAGAACUCUUCAAUCCUCCAGGACUACCAGUGGAGCUGAAAGCAAACCUCUAAUUAUCCAUGGCCUGUUGAUUCUUGCCAAGCUUGCAGUUAACCCGGACAACUGCAAGCACAUAUAUGAUUACAAGGGUCUCUUCUCCAAAAUCAUAUCCCCAGUAAAAAAUAAAGUGUAUGAGAUCCUCAGAGAUGAUGGUAUCACCAUGGAAAUAACUGAGAAGGCACUGGAAGUGGUGAGCAUGCUUGUCAGUGGCACAGAUGAAACCAAUGAAAAGAUACGCCAAGAUAUUUGUAGCAACGGGAUAGUAGCGCACAAUAUUUGCUCAAUCUUGGAAAAGGACCACAUGUACGACAAGCUAAAGGUUCCAGCAACAAAGAUCCUUACGGAGCUAUCUUUGGAUACGUCCACUCGAGCUACCCUUGGACUUGAUGGCGUAGCUGAUUUCAUUAACGACUUGAUGGACAUCUUCUUUGAUGCUGCUAAUGAGAGUGAAGGACUCAAGAAGACCGCAGGUGAAGCAUUAGCAGUACUGGCAAUGGACAAUGCCAAUUGUAUGACGAUCAUGAAUUUCAGCACAGAGACAAAUACUUCAGUUCAGCUUCUCACAGAUAUGAUUCCUGCGGUAAACCAUAGAUUAUAUCAAACUCCCAUAGCACAACUGCUGAUGCAACUUUGUGCAAAUUCUAAUCCUGCAGAAAGGGAGGAGCAUCUCGCAUCAGUCAAAACAAAUCUACAUGAGGUGCUCAAAGUUAUAUGCAAGGAGAAAAUGCAAAUCAGGUGGGUUCUCCACAGCACAACUUAG